ACAGACACUCUGGAAAAUGGAUCCAGUAAGGGUGACAGUGCAGCUAAAAGAAAGGGACCCAGCAAGGAGGACACAUACUGGAAGGAGAUCAAUGCAGCGAUGGCCUUAACAAAUCUUGCACAGGGAAAAGACAAACUGCAGGGGACUACUAGCUGCAUCAUCCAGAAGUCGUCCCAUAUAGCAGAAGUAAAGACAGUCAAAGUGCCCCUGGUGCAGCAGUUUUAAGAGCUUGUCACUUUUCAGGUCUAAUGGAUGUUCUUCAUGUCAAUGUUUUUUUGUAAAUCCUCAUCCUAAGAGCCGAAGCAGGAGUGAAAGAUACUCCCUUUCAAAACUCUUCUUAUUUUUAAUUAUCCAAAAUAUAUCAUUUAGUUGCUUCUAUAAAAGACAUAUAAAUUAUAAAAAAAAACUCAUUUUAAUCAAAAAUAUUAACUUAUUUUAUGUUACUCAAACUAUGCAUAAAAUGUCUGCAUUACCAUUACAGUAAGUGCCUUGCUUCCCGAAAAUAAGCUCCAACGUGGGCAUAGUGGAACAGCUAUGCCUCAAAAUGCCAACGCCGUAUGCUUAUUAGUCUGUGUGCAUCAUUCCAGAUGGAUGCAAUCAUUCCAGACCUGAAACCAGAAUUGCUCAAAGUCCUUGAAAUAUAUUCGAUAAUUCACAUGUUAAAACGUGGAAAUCUGUUCAGGCCAAAUGAAAUGUUCCUUUAAAAGAACUUCUGCAGUAUUGAAAAUUGUUCAAUGUGCUUUUCAGGGUGAUGGUGGGAACUCCAUGCACGCAUCUUGCCUGCAUAUCUGAUGUGUUACAAACUUCCAAAGUGAAAGGUGUGGCAAUCCAUCCACAUAAUGCGUACAUUUAAGAAGUGAGUCCUUCAAACUAAUUUAAAAUUGCAAUGAAUACAUUGUGAUCAGAAAAACUUUUUUCAAGUACUUCUGGAAAGCACCACAAUGCCCUUUAGAAUUAAUUUGGAUUUUCUUUUUCUCAAGUUUUGCUAAAGUUUUUAAAAACUUUAUUAUAUAAAUAACUCAAAAUUUUCCUGUUUAAAACUAAACCUAUAGUUUAGUUUUAAAACAUAAUCCUGUUUGCAUUAGAGUUCAGUGUUUUUUGUGAUGGAAACUUUUUCAAACGGAAUGACUAAAAACCUUUAUUUGGUUCAUUUCAAAUUACAAUUGCUGAUGGACAAUUUGUACUGCAGUGAGAACAAGACAAUGAAAGAAAUGUAUCUCUGUGAAUAUACAUAUACACGCAUAAAAUCGGUUUUUAAAUUUGAAACAUAUGGAAAACAAACAUUAAACAGUCUCUGAAUUUUGCCAAGUAGGACAUUAAAGUAAAAAUUAAGUGAAAUCAUGCAUUAAAAGAAAGAACAUUUUGUUUCUAAAUUAGGAUUUAGAAACUACCAUUGAGUGAGAAUAAUCAAUAUCAAGAGAGAAAAAUGUCUUUUUCAAUCAAACAAUAAUGUUCCAAUCAGCUUCGGAAGAUAUGAAACUUGACCAAACAGUGGAGAUGCCAAAUAUAACAGAGUGUAUAUGCUACAGAGAAGUAAAAAGGAUUUGACUCUUUUAUGAUGGGAUUUUUUUUUCUGGGUGUGUAAUGUAUUUUGUAAUUUUUUUUUUUUUAUACUGGAAAGUAUUUUUUGUGAGUGUCAAUGAGAGCCAGUAGUGCAGCCAUGUGGUGACAUUUUUCUUUAUUUUGCAAAAUGUUUUUAAAACCAAAGCCUGUUCUAGUUACUAUAUGGACAGUGUCAGUCUUGAUAUAAAUUGUAGGACACUUUUUUCACGUAACAUAGCAUUUGGGGAUUGGGUUUACUUCGUGUAAUGAAUAUAAUUUGAUAUAAAAAUAUUUUGUGUAUAUAGAUAUUUUUACUUUGUUUUUUAAAUUGCUGUUUGCAGUAACAGUAAAUGCAAAGCAAGAUAUGUUAAGUUAUGACUGUAUGAUCAGAUGAAGUAUGAGUUCUUUUGGUUUACAUCCUUAAGUAGUUAGUUAUCCAUAAUAAAAACUUUGGAAUCUUUAUGAAACAAUUUUUCCAAAAUGUGAGCAUGUAAAUGAAAACUAAGGACAAGUACUUCACUCUUUUUCAUACUAUUUUUGUAAGUUAUUCUGGUAUUAAAUAUUUUAAAGAAGUGUUUUUGACAUAUUUCAGUUAGAUGAAUGAAUGCUGGUUAUAUUUUAUUUGAAUUAAUCAUGAUUCAUUUUUGCCAUCUCUUUUUUAAAAAAAUCAGCAAAUUGGUUCUGUGUUACAAACUGUAGAUGAUAAGUCAAUAUAGGACAGCUGUUCACAUGAUUUUUUAAAAUACCAAAGCUUGGAGACUGGCCUGUAAACAUGUCAAGAAGAUUUUAUAAAUAGCACAUGCUUGGCAAUAUCUUCAAUUGCAAUUACAUUUAAUUUAUUUUUUUCUUUUGCUGCUUUAACAUGUUCUGGAAAUUAAAGUCCCCCAGUCUUUUAAAAGGUCUUGAACAAUGCUGAGCCAGCAGCUGAGAAUCUAACUCAUAAUUUAUGUUGUAGAGAAAUAGAAUUACCUCUCUUUGUUUUGCCACAUGUAAUCAUUUUAAUAAAAUUAAUACCUGCCAGGAGUUCUUGACAGAUUUAAAAUAAAUGUUAAUUUCUAGACCUC
Molecule: long non-coding RNA, 2606 nt
Organism: Galeopterus variegatus (Sunda flying lemur)
Lineage: Eukaryota; Metazoa; Chordata; Mammalia; Dermoptera; Cynocephalidae
Exons: 2
Source: RefSeq, a predicted model, not a curated record